RNAcentral lists this ribosomal RNA (484 nucleotides) under uncultured bacterium. RNAcentral's name for it is "partial 16S ribosomal RNA". It matches the Rfam family "Bacterial small subunit ribosomal RNA", at positions 30 to 507 of the family's 1533-position model. The record is from RNAcentral.
AUUGAACGCUGGCGGCAGGCCUAACACAUGCAAGUCGAGCGGAUGAAGGGAGCUUGCUCCUGGAUUCAGCGGCGGACGGGUGAGUAAUGCCUAGGAAUCUGCCUGGUAGUGGGGGAUAACGUCCGGAAACGGGCGCUAAUACCGCAUACGUCCUGAGGGAGAAAGUGGGGGUUCUUCGGACCUCACGCUAUCAGAUGAGCCUAGGUCGGAUUAGCUAGUUGGUGGGGUAAAGGCCUACCAAGGCGACGAUCCGUAACUGGUCUGAGAGGAUGAUCAGUCACACUGGAACUGAGACACGGUCCAGACUCCUACGGGAGGCAGAAGUGGGGAAUAUUGGACGAUGGGCGAAAGACUGAUCCAGCCAUGCCGCGUGUGUGAAGAAGGUCUGCGGAUUGUAAAGCACUUUAAGUUGGGAGGAAGGGCAGUAAGUUAAUACCUUGCUGUUUUGACGUUACCAACAGAAUAAGCACCGGCUAACUUCGUG